UUGGAGGGCAAGUCUGGUGCCAGCAGCCGCGGUAAUUCCAGCUCCAAUAGCGUAUAUUAAAGUUGUUGCAGUUAAAAAGCUCGUAGUUGAAUUUUAGGCCUGGCCGGGCGGUCCGUCUUUGGCGAGUACUGUUCUGUGUCGGGUCUUACCUUCUGGUGAACCAGCAUGUUCUUUAUUGAGUGUACCGGGGAGCCAGGACCAUUACCUUGAAAAAAUUAGAGUGUUUAAAGCAGGC
RNAcentral lists this ribosomal RNA (235 nucleotides) under uncultured Glomeromycotina. RNAcentral describes it as "partial 18S rRNA". It matches the Rfam family "Eukaryotic small subunit ribosomal RNA", at positions 548 to 785 of the family's 1831-position model. Lineage: Eukaryota; Fungi; Glomeromycota. The record is from RNAcentral.